Nicotiana tabacum (common tobacco) is the source of this 1214-nucleotide long non-coding RNA. RefSeq lists it as uncharacterized. NCBI's taxonomy places the organism in Eukaryota, Viridiplantae, Streptophyta, Magnoliopsida, Solanales, Solanaceae. The record is from RefSeq and is a predicted model, not a curated record.
CCUAGACCUAACUGAUGAAGCAUCGCACCCUCACUGUUCACCAUCUCCUUCACUGAUUCAAUCCCCAAUUCAACCUCAACUCGCCCGAGUUCACUCAAAUGGUCCCCUCCCCUCCAUGUCAUUUGAUUCCCAACGUUUUUUUGUCAGAAAGAAUUCGAAUAUUCCCUCAAAUCGCAUGAUUUCUGUACUAUAGGAACAAUUUAUUCGAUGAAUGGGAGCCAUGGAUAGAUGUAAAAAAAUCCACGCCCUCCAUUUGUCCCAAAAAUUGUUCAAAGACCUGAACAUAUUUCGGAUUUUAGGGCAGAUUUUUUAAGAUUUUGAAGGCUAUAUAUAUUCGAGGUAAGUCUGUGUGCUAGGUUAGAGAAAAUAUUGGGAAAUAUCUUCAGAAAAAUUGAGUCGAGUUUCUAGGGUUUGAAGUGGUCAUUUUCUUCAAGCCAUUUUUCUUUAGCCUGCUUCUUUUUUUAGAAAGAUAAAAGAAACAAAAACAACAAAAUGGUUUAAGUUCGAUUUUGAUUCAAUCUUUUUAGUUCAUUUUCGGAGAAAAAUCGAAGAAAAAUCAGAGACAAUUUCCGGAGUUUGGUAGUGAAAUUCCUAAUCCUCAAAGCUUUGGAUUCGUGUUCGAGUUCUAUUGAUCUUUGCUGCUGUAUUGCUGAGCUCCUGAAUCAUUCUUCUUGUUAUCAUUUUCCCUCUGUAUUUCGUUUUCUAUAUCAAGGUUUUGGUUGUCAGCAUCAUGCACUUCUGAUGAACAACAUCUUGCUUUCUCUUGGGUUAAAAUUUGUUGGAGAGGGUAGUUAAAGGAGCAUGAAGCCAGUGAAUGUAUUGAUUGAAAGUUAAGGACAUAGAACGUGAUGCAUAUAAUGUUAAAGACAAGAUUGAUUUCAAGCCCUGAAAUGUGCUGCAUAUAAUGUUAAAGGCAAGAUUGAUUUCAAGCACUGAAAUGUGAUGCAUAUAAUGUUAAAGACAAGAUUGAUUUCAAGCAAUGACAAAGCUAAUAGCCAAGAAUGGUUCAUGAGCCUUGUUGUGUAUCACAUUAGUUGCAUAGCACCUUUCAUAUGUAGAUGUCAUUUUUUUAGAGAUUUGGAAGUGAAUCCUUAUUCUUUGAUAAUCUUUUAAUGUGAAUGACAACAGUGUUUGCUCUUUUCUCAGUCUGUAUCUUAUUAUGUCAAGCUGUGCAGAAUUUAUUGAAGGAAAAUUAAUGGAUUUCCUUAAUCGAA